Saccostrea echinata is the source of this 478-nucleotide long non-coding RNA. RefSeq lists it as uncharacterized. NCBI's taxonomy places the organism in Eukaryota, Metazoa, Mollusca, Bivalvia, Ostreida, Ostreidae. The transcript is spliced from 4 exons. The record is from RefSeq and is a predicted model, not a curated record.
UGAAAUACGAAACACAGUGCAACGAUCUUUUUGGACAGUCUGAAUUCCAUCAGAAUAUCUUUCCAAUCUUUUGUCAUAUAUUUCGGCAAUUAGUUUCAAGGAUUCAUGUUAAGGAUCCAGUACCUAACUCAUCAAAAAGAUUUAUCGUUGAUAGUAUGGCUCAGAACAAAGAAGUUAUCGAAAUUGUGAUCAAAAUUAAGAGAAUACUUGGAGAUGACCCAUCAGAGGCUGCUUGUGAAUCUUCAUGUAUAAUAUUUGCUCAGAGAGACACUUAUAUGCAUUUCCUUUGUCCUCUUGUUUGCCACUCGUUCCAGGCCUUAGCUCAAAAUGUGCAGACUCAUACUACGUUUUAGCCGAACUAACUGAAGGAGCUCCCAAAAAAGCUACUUAAUGUAUGUUAUACAUAUUGUUAAGUUGAUAAAACAAAAUAUAUAGGACACAAAGUAUUUUACAAUGUCCUAAAUUCGGGCAAUAAACA